GGCAGUCAGCUGAUCAGAACUGAUCAUUUAAUAUAUCUUCUAUAAUCUUCAGUGAAUUUACUCAUUCAACAGUUAUGUGAGAUUUAAUUCCAUGUAUUCUUGAUACUGAUCAUUGAACUGAUAAUACAAAUUUCAAUGAGAAUCUGAGCGUUUUCCCUGGACUUCAAGGUUCAGUAAAUGGAGCCAAGACUAGAGGGUUCAAAUCUCUUAAAACAGGAGGAGAAGCAUUAUCUCAUUUCUCAAAAUAGAUUGAGUGAACAAAAAGAUUUGGUUAGUGACUUAAAACUUCAUUGCACCCUAACUAUAGAUAAAGAAGAAGAUAUCUUAAAUGAAGUACCCAACCUUGAAAAACAAACCAACACUAGAGAGUCUAAGAAAGGAACAAAUGAUGAUCCAAGGAAGCUAUUAUCAGGAAUGCUGAAGGUAGAUUACGGAACUGGUAGAGCCAAGUCUCCUGUGACCGUUCAGGAAUGGGUUGCCGCUUUGCCUGAUUUACCAAUUGACAUGGAAAACGGUAUAAUAGAGACUCAAAGCAUUUUGGAAAAUGACAAUAUGAGAUUGGGGGCUGAAGCUGGUUUUUUACAGUACCGCAAUCCAGCCAAGAUGAUCUUUAACAAUCGGAGCAAAAAACCAACUGAGAAGAGAAGGAACCUAUUUACACAUUCAGAUACCUUAGCUUCUCUUAACAGCGAACAGUCUAACCUCUCAAAUUCUAGUGUGGAUUCUCUGCUCCAAGCCCGGGAGGCAGAUCCCGUUGAGGUCCUCAUAGGUUUAGGAUUCGGAGGUAAAUCAAGCACUGUCUCUAGGAUUCCAUCCAGAUUUUUUCAGUCAAAAUCCAAGGCAAACAUUGAUAUCAAUGCGUUCCUACAAAGAGAGGAAGAACAGGAGGAACGGUUUCAGUCUGGAUACUGUGGAUACAGGGGUUUAGUGGGGAAUUCAAGUAGGAGGCCAUCGGAAAUAGUUGAGAAGAUUAUAGCUACCCUAAGAGAAAGAGAGCGUGAAUUGAGACGGAGAGAUUCUACUCAAUCUUGGACGGUGUCCUCUACACCAUGUCUGCAAAAUAUUCCUGCAAGGUUUCGUUUGAUGGAUCCAAAUCGGCCAACUUUCGAAACAAUCGUGAAACAGUUAACAACAGCACCCAUACCCAGCUCCCCAAGAAAAUCUGUCGGAAAAUUUAAGAUGAUUGCUAAAUCUGUAUUGUGCCCUGAAAACCAAAACUGGAGACGCGAACACACAAAACAUACUCAUGAACGACGUAAACUACAUCUAGGGGGUAAGUGCUUUCUUGUUGACAAUGAUGGAAACGAAAUCAUUGAGGAGGAAGAAGAAAUACUAAAUGAGGAAGAUGGAGGAGGCCAACGGAAGUUAGAACAUCAAGAUUCAUUGAUGUCCUUAACCAGCACUACCAGUAUUGAAUCUGACUGGAGUGAUGAUGAGAGAGAGGAGUUAGAAAAACUUUUUGGUGUAAUGUCAGAGAAGGGGGAGGAAUAUACAAAACUUAGGCAGCUUCGUAGAUCAAGGAGGAAGUCUCGACGGACGGGAGGCUCUAGAACAGGAGGAGGAACAUCCAGCACUGCGAGCUGGGACGGAGCAAGAUUAGUUUAUUCUAGAGAGAGUUCUAUUAGUGAAAUUACAGCAUCCAUGGAUGGGGCAGCAUCAGAACUAGAAACUUCGACAAGAAACUAGAAGAAUAUUAACCAAAUAAGAAUUCGUGAAGCAAGGAUUAAGUUGAAAAGAUAUGCAAAAAACUAAUUUUGUCUCUUCGCUGAGGUGCAGCCGUUUGACGUUUAUUGGAUACAAACAAACAGGUUUGAAAUAUAUCCGUUCACCUGAUUAUUUGCAACUUUGUAUCCGAGUUGAGGAGCCUAAUCAACAAACCAAUUAACCAACGCCCCAACUAACCAAUGAACCAACUAGCCAAUUAAUAAACUAGCCAGCAAAACAUCUAAUUAUCGACGCCCCAACUAAGUUUAAACAUUUCAAACUACUAAUCUGAAACUAAAUUGACGUCAUUCAAUCUCUUCAACAGGAUACUAUCCAUGGAGACAACACCAAGGCCCCAUGCCAGGAGCGUCAGAAAUCAUGCACCAGGAAUUCUCCCUGCCUUCUACAGGGAUGUAUGAUCUGUGGCACACCAACCAACCACGUGUUAGCAAUCUGUAUGUGCACCUGAGCAACAGCAAUGCCACCCCAACCUCUCUAUGCGUUCCAAAAUGGAAUUCAGAUGAAUGAUAUCCAUGAACUGAAAGACAUAACAAAUUUGUACAUCCUAACCAUGAAAACAUACCUCCAUGAAACCCGACUAACCACCAUGAACAUCCUCAACUCCCGCCUUCCGCCAGCAGUUAACAUCAUUGACCUUCAACCAAAUACUGACCUUCAGCUUGUUGAUCCUAAAUCAACCAAACCAGAUCCUUCAAUGAAACCAGAUCCUUCAACUGUACCUGGCCCUCCAACCGAACCAGAUCCUUCAACCAAACCAAAUCCUGAUCCUUCAAUCGGAACAGAUCCCUCAACUAACCCAGAUCCUUCAACCAAACCAAAUCCGUCAACCGAACCCAAUCCUUCAAACAAACUAGAACCUUCUACCGAACCAAAUCAUUCAACCAAACCAGCUCCUCCAACCAAACUAGAUCCAUCAACCGAACCCACUUCAGCAACUGAUCCAGAUCCUCAACUAAACCAGAUCCUCCAACCAAUCCAAAUCCUUCAACCAAACCAGAUAUGUCAACUGAACCAAAUCCUUCAACCAAACCUUAUCCUUCAACUGAACCAGAUUCUUUUACUGAUCCAGAUCCUCUUACCAAUCCAGAUCCUAUCCUCCAAUCAGACCAGAUCCUCCAAUAAAAUUAGACCCUUCAACCAAGCCUGAUCCUUCAACAGAACCAAAUUCAGGAACUGAUUCAGAUCCUUCAACCAAACCAAAUCCAGAUCCUUUAACCAAACCACAUACGUCCACUGAACCAGAUCGAUCAACUGAACCCAAUCCUUCAACCAAACCAGACCCUUCAACUGACCCAGAUCCUUCUACCAAACCAAAUCCUAUGACCAAACCAGAUCCUUUGACCAAACCCGCUCUUCCAACCAAACCAUAUCCUUCAACUGAACCUGAUCCUCCUACCGUACCACAUAUGAUCUCUAACCGGAAAUAAGUGUGAGCUCUAUUGCUAGUUGUCACAGGAUGUAGAACUCGUCCUCCUGCUUUCGGGACUAGGGUCUACACCGAAUAGUGAAAUGUUUUAGAUUAAACUCCACUUAAAACCAGGUUCAUAUUUUCAGAAGUAUUUACAAAUGUUUUAAACUACUUGAUCAAACCCUUCAAUCCUUAAUCAAUCCUUAUCAUCCUGAGCUAAAUAUAAGCUAUCUAAUUAAACAUACAAUAACAUUUAUACAUUGCCAUUUACUAUAUCUGUAUUUUUGAAGGUUUGAAAUAUAUCCGUUUACCUGA
This 3448-nucleotide unclassified non-coding RNA is filed under the name Eurytemora carolleeae. RNAcentral's name for it is "uncharacterized LOC111694741". Lineage: Eukaryota; Metazoa; Arthropoda; Copepoda; Calanoida; Temoridae. The record is from RNAcentral.